GAUGAACGCUAGCGGCAGGCUUAACACAUGCAAGUCGAGGGGUAUAGUAGCAAUACUAGAGACCGGCGCACGGGUGCGUAACGCGUAUGCAAUCUACCUUUCACAGAGGGAUAGCCCAGAGAAAUUUGGAUUAAUACCUCAUAGUAUAUAGACCUGGCAUCAGGAUUAUAUUAAAGUCACAACGGUGAAAGAUGAGCAUGCGUCCCAUUAGCUAGUUGGUAUGGUAACGGCAUACCAAGGCUACGAUGGGUAGGGGUCCUGAGAGGGAGAUCCCCCACACUGGUACUGAGACACGGACCAGACUCCUACGGGAGGCAGCAGUGAGGAAUAUUGGACAAUGGGCGCAAGCCUGAUCCAGCCAUGCCGCGUGCAGGAUGACGGUCCUAUGGAUUGUAAACUGCUUUUGUACAGGAAGAAGCAACUCUACGUGUAGAGUCUUGACGGUACUGUAAGAAUAAGGAUCGGCUAACUCCGUGCCAGCAGCCGCGGUAAUACGGAGGAUCCAAGCGUUAUCCGGAAUCAUUGGGUUUAAAGGGUCCGUAGGCGGUCUUAUAAGUCAGUGGUGAAAUCUCCCCGCUCAGCGGGGAAACGGCCAUUGAUACUGUAAGACUUGAAUUAUUAGGAAGUAACUAGAAUAUGUAGUGUAGCGGUGAAAUGCUUAGAGAUUACAUGGAAUACCAAUUGCGAAGGCAGGUUACUACUAAUGGAUUGACGCUGAUGGACGAAAGCGUGGGUAGCGAACAGGAUUAGAUACCCUGGUAGUCCACGCCGUAAACGAUGGAUACUAGCUGUUGGAAGCAAUUUCAGUGGCUAAGCGAAAGUGAUAAGUAUCCCACCUGGGGAGUACGUUCGCAAGAAUG
Molecule: ribosomal RNA, 860 nt
Filed under: uncultured bacterium
Lineage: Bacteria
Description: bacterial SSU rRNA
Rfam family: Bacterial small subunit ribosomal RNA
Source: RNAcentral